CUUUUCCAGUGGCGUGCCCCUGGAACGUUGUGCACCACCAUUUUGACUCUUUUAAUGUGCAUGCCCAGGAAGCUGCUUCUCCCUGGAGUCAGUAUUCAAAUCACACUUUACUGCAACAGGUGUGGACCAUCAGGAAACGGCCUCUCCCCUGGCGCCUGGCUCCCAAUUCACCACUUUUAGAGAGCUAUCCCCCAUCCUCAUCACUUUCCUAUCUGGCUGCUGCAGCAGAAACAUUUAUUUAAUAGGAAAUAGAACUACUCAUUCUGCAAGAAGAGUCUUUAAAUUGCAGAUGCCUGGGUACUUCGUACUGGAUUUCGAGGCUGGCAUCCUGCAGUAUUUUGUGAAUGAGCAAAGCAAACACCAGAAGCCUCGAGGAGUCCUGUCUUUAUCUGGAGCCAUAGUGUCCCUGAGCGAUGAAGCUCCCCACAUGCUGGUGGUGUACUCUGCUAAUGGAGAGAUGUUUAAACUGAGAGCUGCUGAUGCAAAAGAGAAACAAUUCUGGGUGACUCAGCUUCGAGCUUGUGCCAAAUACCACAUGGAAAUGAAUUCUAAG
RNAcentral lists this small RNA (553 nucleotides) under Pan troglodytes (chimpanzee). Its description in RNAcentral is "processed transcript". Lineage: Eukaryota; Metazoa; Chordata; Mammalia; Primates; Hominidae. The record is from RNAcentral.